GAUGAACGCUGGCGGCGUGCCUAAUACAUGCAAGUCGAGCGAACAGAUGAGGAGCUUGCUCCUCUGACGUUAGCGGCGGACGGGUGAGUAACACGUGGAUAACCUACCUAUAAGACUGGGAUAACUUCGGGAAACCGGAGCUAAUACCGGAUAAUAUAUUGAACCGCAUGGUUCAAUAGUGAAAGACGGUUUUGCUGUCACUUAUAGAUGGAUCCGCGCCGCAUUAGCUAGUUGGUAAGGUAACGGCUUACCAAGGCAACGAUGCGUAGCCGACCUGAGAGGGUGAUCGGCCACACUGGAACUGAGACACGGUCCAGACUCCUACGGGAGGCAGCAGUAGGGACUCUUCCGCAAUGGGCGAAAGCCUGACGGAGCAACGCCGCGUGAGUGCUGAAGGUCUUCGGAUCGUAAAACUCUGUUAUUAGGGAAGAGCAAAUGUGUAAGUAACUAUGCACGUCUUGACGGUACCUAAUCAGAAAGCCACGGCUAACUACGUG
This 497-nucleotide ribosomal RNA is filed under the name uncultured bacterium. RNAcentral describes it as "partial 16S ribosomal RNA". It matches the Rfam family "Bacterial small subunit ribosomal RNA", at positions 28 to 507 of the family's 1533-position model. The record is from RNAcentral.